AUGUCCAGCAUUAUUGUUCCUGUGUGCAUCAACGCGCCCGAGCUAUCCACAAUUCUCGAGAACAAUGCAGGACUUGAGUAUCUUACCAAGACAAGAAAAGUGUGUGUCAGAAGGCUGCUUAGUGCUAAUGCUCAUGGGUACCCUAUACCACCACCGGUGCUUGAAUACACGAAGCGAUAUCACAAGGCAUAUUUCACAGACGAGGCACAAGCGCAGUUAAAGGCGGCUGAUCCGUAUGUACCUGGCAGCACACCAACAAACGAAAACAAUGAUCAAAGCCAUGACAACGGUGAGCCAAGAAAAAAUUGUAAAGGCUUGACAGAGAAUCCUACCCUCCGACAUCAAGUACAAACUUAUGGUGCUUCAAGUUCGGUCCAGCAAAGGAUUGCUAAAAGGCCCAAGUUGGACAUCGAAGAAAUUUACAGGACAAGGCACCCUGAAUUAUAUCAAGGAUUUAUAACUGAUGCUGGUAUUAGGGUCACAGAAGAUUCACCUAUCCCUGAGGAGUGCCAGACUGAGGAAUUCCUAGAGGCAAUGGAGAUUUUGGAAGAAAUAAAUGGCGCCCCAUGUUAUGAUGCUGAGAGCCUGGCUCUAGGUUCAUUGAAGAAAGCAGAGUACUUCCUAAUGCCAGACACUAUACAAUUUGAGCCAUGUGCAGUUGAUAGCAUUUGCCGAGGGUCUGCAUUUUGGAAACCUGAUCGGAAGCUACUUUCUCAGGUGUACGCCCUGGCUAAAGUGCAGGCGCUUCAGCUUGGCAAAUUAAGUGGGCGGUUCUACGAGCUCAGGCAUUUUCUGCUGGCUGGUACCAUGGACAUAAAUAUUCAAGGCUUUGUUCGCCUCCGAAGAACUCAGCUGAGAUUUAUGAUAAGAAAAUAG
RNAcentral lists this ribosomal RNA (876 nucleotides) under Triticum aestivum (bread wheat). RNAcentral describes it as "partial small subunit ribosomal RNA". The record is from RNAcentral. Lineage: Eukaryota; Viridiplantae; Streptophyta; Magnoliopsida; Poales; Poaceae.